RNAcentral lists this ribosomal RNA (301 nucleotides) under uncultured bacterium. RNAcentral's name for it is "partial 16S ribosomal RNA". It matches the Rfam family "Bacterial small subunit ribosomal RNA", at positions 509 to 808 of the family's 1533-position model. The record is from RNAcentral.
CAGCAGCCGCGGGAAUACGUAGGUGGCGAGCGUCGUCCGGAAUCAUUGGGCGUAAAGGGAGCGCAGGCGGGCAUGUAAGUCUUUCUUAAAAGUUCGGGGCUCAACCCCGUGAUGGGAAAGAAACUACAUGUCUUGAGUACAGGAGAGGAAAGCGGAAUUCCCAGUGUAGCGGUGAAAUGCGUAGAUAUUGGGAGGAACACCAGUGGCGAAGGCGGCUUUCUGGACUGCAACUGACGCUGAGGCUCGAAAGCCAGGGGAGCGAACGGGAUUAGAUACCCCUGUAGUCCCUGUCUCUUAUACC